This 468-nucleotide ribosomal RNA is filed under the name uncultured bacterium. RNAcentral describes it as "partial 16S ribosomal RNA". It matches the Rfam family "Bacterial small subunit ribosomal RNA", at positions 28 to 507 of the family's 1533-position model. The record is from RNAcentral.
GACGAACGCUGGCGGCGUGCUUAACACAUGCAAGUCGAACGGAAAGGCCCUGCUUUUGUGGGGUGCUCGAGUGGCGAACGGGUGAGUAACACGUGAGUAACCUGCCCUUGACUUUGGGAUAACUUCAGGAAACUGGGGCUAAUACCGGAUAGGAGCUCCUGCUGCAUGGUGGGGGUUGGAAAGUUUCGGCGGUUGGGGAUGGACUCGCGGCUUAUCAGCUUGUUGGUGGGGUAGUGGCUUACCAAGGCUUUGACGGGUAGCCGGCCUGAGAGGGUGACCGGCCACAUUGGGACUGAGAUACGGCACAGAAUCCUAAGGGAGGCAGCAGUGGGGAAUAUUGCACAAUGGGCGGAAGCCUGAUGCAGCAACGCCGCGUGCGGGAUGACGGCCUUCGGGUUGUAAACCGCUUUCGCCUGUGACGAAGCGUGAGUGACGGUAAUGGGUAGAGAAGCACCGGCUAACUACGUG